UGGGGAAUAUUGCGCAAUGGGGGGAACCCUGACGCAGCCAUGCGCGUGAAUGAAGAAGGCCUUCGGGUUGUAAAGUUCUUUCGGUAUUGAGGAAGGUUGAUGUGUUAAUAGCACAUCAAAUUGACGUUAAAUACAGAAGAAGCACCGGCUAACUCCGUGCCAGCAGCCGCGGUAAUACGGAGGGUGCGAGCGUUAAUCGGAAUAACUGGGCGUAAAGGGCACGCAGGCGGUUAUUUAUAUUUAAGUGAGGUGUGAAAGCCCCGGGCUUAACCUGGGAAUUGCAUUUCAGACUGGGUAACUAGAGUACUUUAGGGAGGGGUAGAAUUCCACGUGUAGCGGUGAAAUGCGUAGAGAUGUGGAGGAAUACCGAAGGNGAAGGCAGCCCCUUGGGAAUGUACUGACGCUCAUGUGCGAAAGCGUGGGGAGCAAACAGGAUUAGAUACCCUGGUAGUCCACGCUGUAAAAACCCUUCGAUUUGGGGGUUGGGGUUUAACUCUGGCGCCCGUAGCUAACGUGAUANUCGACCGCCUGGGAGUACGGCCGCAAGNU
This 549-nucleotide ribosomal RNA is filed under the name uncultured bacterium. RNAcentral describes it as "bacterial SSU rRNA". It matches the Rfam family "Bacterial small subunit ribosomal RNA", at positions 355 to 894 of the family's 1533-position model. The record is from RNAcentral.